GACGAACGCUGGCGGCGUGCCUAAUACAUGCAAGUCGAGCGGACUUUCCGGAGUUCUUUCCCUCCGGAGGGUUAGCGGCGGGCGGGUGAGUAACACGUAGGCAACCUUCCCCUAAGACCGGGAUACCAUUCGGUAACGCUAGCUACUACCGGGUACACCGGCUUCUCGCAUGAGGGGGUCGGGAUAGGCCGAGCGAUCUGCCGCUUAUGGCUUGGCCUGCGGUGCAUUAGCUAGUUGGUGGGGUAACGGCCUACCAAGGCGAGGAGGCGUAGCCGAACUGAGAGGGUGAUAGGCCACACUGGGACUGAGACACGGCCCAGACUCCUACGGGAGGCAGCAGUAGGGAAUGUUACGCAAUGGACGCAAGUCUGACGGAGCGACGCCGCGUGAGUGAGGAAGGCCUUCGGGUCGGAAAGCUCUGUUGCCAGGGAAGAACGGGCAGGGGAGGAACUGCCCUUGGCAUGACGGUACCUGGGAAGAAAGCCCCGGCUAACUACGUG
This 500-nucleotide ribosomal RNA is filed under the name uncultured bacterium. Its description in RNAcentral is "partial 16S ribosomal RNA". It matches the Rfam family "Bacterial small subunit ribosomal RNA", at positions 28 to 507 of the family's 1533-position model. The record is from RNAcentral.